Molecule: ribosomal RNA, 492 nt
Filed under: uncultured bacterium
Lineage: Bacteria
Description: partial 16S ribosomal RNA
Rfam family: Bacterial small subunit ribosomal RNA
Source: RNAcentral
AGUGAACGCUGGCGGUAGGCCUAACACAUGCAAGUCGAACGGCAGCACAGUAAGAGCUUGCUCUUACGGGUGGCGAGUGGCGGACGGGUGAGGAAUACAUCGGAAUCUACUUUUUCGUGGGGGAUAACGUAGGGAAACUUACGCUAAUACCGCAUACGACCUACGGGUGAAAGCAGGGGAUCUUCGGACCUUGCGCGAUUGAAUGAGCCGAUGUCGGAUUAGCUAGUUGGCGGGGUAAAGGCCCACCAAGGCGACGAUCCGUAGCUGGUCUGAGAGGAUGAUCAGCCACACUGGAACUGAGACACGGUCCAGACUCCUACGGGAGGCAGCAGUGGGGAAUAUUGGACAAUGGGCGCAAGCCUGAUCCAGACAUACCGAGUGGGUGAAGAAGGCCUUCGGGUUGUAAAGCCCUUUUGUUGGGAAAGAAAAGCAGCAGGUUAAUACCCCGCUGUUCUGACGGUACCCAAAGAAUAAGCACCGGCUAACUUCGUG